ACUAUGGAUCAAUGAUAUUUAAAACUCAAAGAGCUUGGCGGUGUUUUAGACUCUUUAGGGGAACCUGUCUCAUAAUCGACAAUCCACGUAAAACCUGACCUUUAUUUGCUAUCAGUUUGUAUACCGUCGUCGUCAGGUAACUUUUUAGAAGAAAGAAGUUAGCAGAAGAGCUUGUCAUAAGCUCUUACGUCAGAUCAAGGUGCAGCCAAUAUAAAGGGGAGGAUGGGUUACAAUUAUAAAAAUUAUAAUUACGAAAUAACAAUUUUAAAUAUUAGUUAUGAAGGAGGACUUAAAAGUAAAAUAAAAUAUGUAAAUAUAUUGAAUCGAGCUCUGAAACGUGCACACAUCGCCCGUCGCUCUCGUUGAAAAACGAGAUAAGUCGUAACAUAGCAGGGGUAAUGGAAAUUGUCCCUAAACU
Molecule: ribosomal RNA, 418 nt
Filed under: Dicathais orbita
Lineage: Eukaryota; Metazoa; Mollusca; Gastropoda; Neogastropoda; Muricidae
Description: partial 12S ribosomal RNA
Rfam family: Microsporidia small subunit ribosomal RNA
Source: RNAcentral